GACGAACGCUGGCGGCGUGCUUAACACAUGCAAGUCGAACGGAAAGGCCCCUUUGGGGGUACUCGAGUGGCGAACGGGUGAGUAACACGUGAGUAACCUGCCCUUGACUUCGGGAUAACUUCAGGAAACUGGGGCUAAUACCGGAUAGGAAUCCUUGCUGCAUGGUGGGGGUUGGAAAGCUUCGGCGGUUUUGGAUGGACUCGCGGCUUAUCAGCUUGUUGGUGGGGUAGUGGCUUACCAAGGCUUUGACGGGUAGCCGGCCUGAGAGGGCGACCGGCCACAUUGGGACUGAGAUACGGCCCAGACUGCUACGGGAGGCAGCAGGGGGGAAUAUUGCACAAUGGGCGGAAGCCUGAUGCAGCAACGCCGCGGGCGGGAUGACGGCCUUCGGGUUGUAAACCGCUUUCAGCAGGGGCGAAGCUUGUGGUGACGGUACCUGCAGAAGAAGCACCGGCUAACUACGUG
This 465-nucleotide ribosomal RNA is filed under the name uncultured bacterium. RNAcentral describes it as "partial 16S ribosomal RNA". It matches the Rfam family "Bacterial small subunit ribosomal RNA", at positions 28 to 507 of the family's 1533-position model. The record is from RNAcentral.